This 266-nucleotide ribosomal RNA is filed under the name uncultured Oxalobacter sp. Its description in RNAcentral is "partial 16S ribosomal RNA". It matches the Rfam family "Bacterial small subunit ribosomal RNA", at positions 70 to 339 of the family's 1533-position model. The record is from RNAcentral. Lineage: Bacteria; Pseudomonadati; Pseudomonadota; Betaproteobacteria; Burkholderiales; Oxalobacteraceae.
CAGCAUGGGGCAACCCUGAUGGCGAGUGGCGAACGGGUGAGUAAUAUAUCGGAACGUACCCGAGAGUGGGGGACAACCAGUCGAAAGAUUGGCUAAUACCGCAUACGAUCUACGGAUGAAAGUGGGGGACCUUCGGGCCUCACGCUCCUGGAGCGGCCGAUAGCUGAUUAGCUAGUUGGUGGGGUAAAGGCCUACCAAGGCGAUGAUCAGUAGCUGGUCUGAGAGGACGAUCAGCCACACUGGGACUGAGACACGGCCCAGACUCC